Molecule: long non-coding RNA, 3106 nt
Organism: Oncorhynchus tshawytscha (Chinook salmon)
Lineage: Eukaryota; Metazoa; Chordata; Actinopteri; Salmoniformes; Salmonidae
Source: Ensembl
CCGUAAUUUAGGUCUUUAGAAAAUCGAACAAUAUAUAAGAGUUUCAUGUCCCAUUGAGAAGAGAAAGUUCAGGGGGCAGAGUUUAUCACAUAUUAGUGGCGGUGAGGUAAUAUCAUCUGGUUGGUGGUGAGGUAAUACCAUCUAUCAUCUAGUUGGCGGUGAGGUAAUACCAUCUAUCAUCUAGUUGGCGGUGAGGUAAUACCAUCUAUCAUCUAGUUGGCGGUGAGGUAAUACCAUCUAGUUGGCGGUGAGGUAAUACCAUCUAUCAUCUAGUUGGCGGUGAGGUAAUACCAUCUAUCAUCUAGUUGGCGGUGAGGUAAUGCCAUCUAUCAUCUAGUUGGCGGUGAGGUAAUACCAUCUAUCAUCUAGUUGGCGGUGAGGUAAUACCAUCUAUCAUCUAGUUGGCGGUGAGGUAAUGCCAUCUAUCAUCUAGUUGGCGGUGAGGUAAUAUCAUCUAUUUGAGGUAAGUUACUGCAACUCUGCCACGUUUGAAAGAAAUGGGAAUGAGAACUUGUAACGUUGCAUGGGUCAUUGUGAUAAGUACUUGGUAUCGUUGUGAUGAUGAUAAGUACUAGGUAUCGUUGUGAUGGGGAUAAGUACUAGGUAUCGUUGUGAUGGGGAUAAGUACUAGGAAUCGUUGUGAUGGGGAUAAGUACUAGGAAUCGUUGUGAUGGGGAUAAGUACUAGGUAUCGUUGUGAUGGGGAUAAGUACUAGGAAUCGUUGUGAUGGGGAUAAGUACUAGGAAUCGUUGUGAUGGGGAUAAGUACCAGGUAUCAUUGGUAUAGUGCUAUGUACUAGGUAUCAUGGUGAUGGGGAUAUGUACUAGGUAUUGAUGUGUAUUAUUCUAGAGAGUCUCUGGUCAGAGGUAGAGGCCACUCAUUUUGACACCUAGAGAGCCUCUGGUCAGAGGUAGAGGCCACUCGUUUUGACACCUAGAGAGCCUCUGACCAGAGGUAGAAGCCACUCGUUUUGACACCUAGAGAGCCUCUGGUCAGAGGUAGAAGCCACUCGUUUUGACACCUAGAGAGCCUCUGACCAGCGGUAGAAGCCACUCGUUUUGACACCUAGAGAGCCUCUGACCAGCGGUAGAGGCCACUCGUUUUGACAGGAGCCACAUAGAGAACCUCUAUAUCGGACAGCGUGUCAUUUGAAAUGAAAACGUAGAUCUAACGACAACCAGGGUUUGGCAAGGGAUACGUCUUUUAAUUUAGACCGUGACGAACCUAACCGCGGAAAUUCUAGUGAAGAGAUGUAUUUGCACACACACUUCAUGCAUACAACACCAGAAGACGGUACACUGUACACACGGACGAGUGUUACACAACAGGGAAAAACAACUUCCAUAAUCCAGUUUUUUUUAUUUGGAAUGAACUUGGGUUUUCUUUUUUUGUGUUCUAUUUCUACAGGUUUUGGUUUUCCGAUGCACUAUGUUUUUUAUUACGUCGUUUUGCCACUUCCUGUUAGGCACUUUUGAAGUUCUGCACUUCGAAAAACAUGUUUUAAUUCAAUAAUGCACCCAACCCCACCCCACAGUGCAAUGCUCCUAUUGAAAAGAUGAAUACUGGAGGUGGAAGGUAUGACGCAAAGGAUUGUUAAAGUGAAACAAGCAAAUUCACAGCAUCAUUUCAUACCUCUUUUUUUUUUUAAAUUUUUUUAGAGAAUAUCAGAGAGAAUGUGACAUUUCUGGGAUUUUUGUUUCUUGAGGAAGUUUACGGUGUAAUUCCUGAUAUUAAGGAAACCUAUUUUCUUCCUCUGACUGAAGAUUGUUUGAUGUUAUGCCCUUAAACACAGAUCUAGAAUCAGCUUACCUGCAAUCAUAACCUUGAAUAUCAAUUGGAUGGAUGGGGGAGGGGGGGUUCAGUUAUAGCUGAACUCAGAUCAGUGUCUAUGGGUUGAGUGGAGCUUAUGGAUCCCAAACGUCUGGUAGUGUGACCACUGACUGCAGUUGUGUGAGGGAAGAGACAUAUAUGUCCAAUGGUUAUAUUCUCAUCGGAGUCUGGUAGCAGCUUGUUCUGUGGAACCAUCCAUUUCCCCUUGUGGAGUUGAACCAACUGGGUUGAGCUAAACUACAUCGGAAUAGUAGGAUUUUUAGUUUGUUUGGUAGCGAAACAAAGUGAAUGUGGACGAUGGGUUUUAAAAUAUUAUUUUUUUACUUUUCUAAAAGUCUGAAGUGUCUUUUUUGGAAGGUUAUCUUUAUUUUUUAUUUAUUUUUAUUUUACCUUUAUUUAACUAGGCAAGUCAGUUAAGAACCAAUUCUUAUUUUCAAUGACGGCCUAGCAACAGUGGGUUAACUGCCUGUUCAAGGGCAGAACGACAGAUUUGUACCUUGUCAGCUCGGGGUUUGAACUUGCAACCUUCCGGUUACUAGUCCAACGCUCUAACCACUAGGCUACCCUGCCGCAGCAGCAGCAGGAUUUCCUCAUUUUGGGGGGGUGGCUGGCUUCUUCAUUUGCUAGCUGUGAGAGAACCCUUGUCAUUCCACCUGUUUAUAUAGCAAGUCAUUUCCUUAUGGUUCUAUUGUCCUACCUGGUGUGGUGUCUCGGUAGGUUGAGCCUGUGAGGUUGUGAGCCAUGACUUUAUGCAAUGUCUUACCAUAUUAUAUGUCCAACUGCAAUGAGGAUGAUUUAUGGUCUGCAAUGAGGAUGAUUUAUGGUCUGCAAUGAGGAUGAUUUAUGGUCUGCAAUGAGGAUGAUUUAUGGUCUGCAAUGAUGAGGAUGAUUUAUGGUCUGCAAUGAUGAGGAUGAUUUAUGGUCUGCAAUGAUGAGGAUGAUUCAUGGUCUGCAGUGAUGAGGAUGAUUUAUGGUCUGCAAUGAUGAGGAUGAUUCAUGGUCUGCAGUGAUGAGGAUGAUUUAUGGUCUGCAAUGAUGAGGAUGAUUUAUGGUCUGCAGUGAUGAGGAUGAUUUAUGGUCUGCAAUGAUGAGGAUGAUUUAUGGUCUGCAAUGAUGAGGAUGAUUUAUGGUCUGCAAUGAUGAGGAUGAUUUAUGGUCUGCAAUGAUGAGGAUGAUUUAUGGUCUGCAAUGAUGAGGAUGAUUCAUGGUCUGCAAUGAUGAGGAUGAUUCAUGGUCUGCAAUGAUGAGGAUGAUUCAUGGUCUGCAAUGAUGAGGA